GAUGAACGCUGGCGGCGUGCUUAAUACAUGCAAGUCGAGCGAACGGACGCGAAGCUUGUUUCUUUGAUGUUAGCGGAGGACGGGUGAGUAACACGUGGAUAACCUCCUUAUCAGACUGGGAUCAUUUCGGGAAACCGGAGAUAAUACCGGAUGAUCUUUUGAACCGCAUGGUUCAAAAGUGAAAGACGGUCUUGCUGUCACUUAUAGAUGGAUCUGCGCUGCAUUAGCUAGUUGGUAAGGUAACGGCUUACGAAGGCAACGAUGCAUAGCCGACGGGAGAGGGGGAUCGGCCACACUGGAACGGAGACACGGUCCAUGCUCCUACGGGAGGCAGCAGUAUGGAAUCUGCCGCAAUGGGCGAAAGCCUUACGGAGCAACGCCGCGUGAGUUAUGAAGGUCUUCGGAGCGUAAAACUCGGUUAUUAGGGAAGAACAUAUGUGGAAGUAACUGUGCACAUCUUGACGGUACCUGAUCAGAAAGCCACGGCUAACUACGUG
This 497-nucleotide ribosomal RNA is filed under the name uncultured bacterium. Its description in RNAcentral is "partial 16S ribosomal RNA". It matches the Rfam family "Bacterial small subunit ribosomal RNA", at positions 28 to 507 of the family's 1533-position model. The record is from RNAcentral.